Egretta garzetta (little egret) is the source of this 299-nucleotide long non-coding RNA. RefSeq lists it as uncharacterized. Lineage: Eukaryota; Metazoa; Chordata; Aves; Pelecaniformes; Ardeidae. The record is from RefSeq and is a predicted model, not a curated record. The transcript is spliced from 3 exons.
GCCCAGCUGAUACCCAAAGGCCAUACUUCAGCAGAUGCGCCUGAUCAGAGCAGCGGAGACGUGAUUCAUGCCAGAUUUCACACUAUGCUGGCCCACCAUCCGAGACGCGACCUUGGCACCUGGUGCCCCUGUUUUGCUCAGGUGAGAAGCCUCUUUGGCACGAGCUUGGGAGAGCUGAUCUGGGCGGCAGGAGGUUCCCUGGUCCCUUGCCCAGCUUCCAGCUGCGGAUGCUGUACGCCUGUGAAGGGCAAUUGCAUCUUGAGCUGAGCAACCAAAGGAAGCCAUUAUCUCUACAAGAG